GUCUUAUUGAUUAUAAUUUUAAGUCUAAUCUGCCCAAUGAGUAAUUAAAUGGCUGCAGUAUUUUAACUGUACAAAGGUAGCAUAAUAAUUAGUUUCUUAAUUAGGAACUGGAAUGAAUGAUUGGACGAAAUAGUGACUGUCUUAGUUUAAAUUUUAGAAUUUUAUUUUUGAGUUAAAAAGCUUAAAUUUUUUUAAAAGACGAGAAGACCCUAUAGAAUUUUAUACUAUUUGAAUAUUUUGUUAUUAGGGUUUUAAUAUAGAAUUUUUUAAUUAGUAUUUAGUUGGGGUGAUUGAAAAAUUUAAUAAACUUUUUUUUAUUAUUAACAUUAAUAUAUGAUUAUAUGAUCCAGUUUUUCUGAUUAUAAGAUUAAAUUACCUUAGGGAUAACAGCGUAAUUUUUUUAGAGAGUUCUAAUCGAUAAAAGAGAUUGCGACCUCGAUGUUGGAUUAAAGUUUAUUUUUAAUGUAGGAGUUAAAAUAUUAGGUCUGUUCGACCUUUAAAACUUUACAUGAUCUGAGUUUAAACCGGUGUGAGCCAGGUUGGAUUCUAUCUUUAAUUAAAUUAAAUAUUUUAGUACGAAAGGACCAAGUAUUUGUUAUAGUAAUUUUAUUAGAA
Molecule: ribosomal RNA, 615 nt
Filed under: Troglocharinus espanoli
Lineage: Eukaryota; Metazoa; Arthropoda; Insecta; Coleoptera; Leiodidae
Description: 16S ribosomal RNA
Rfam family: Bacterial large subunit ribosomal RNA
Source: RNAcentral